Molecule: ribosomal RNA, 426 nt
Filed under: uncultured bacterium
Lineage: Bacteria
Description: partial 16S ribosomal RNA
Rfam family: Bacterial small subunit ribosomal RNA
Source: RNAcentral
GUGAGGAAUUUUCCGCAAUGGGCGAAAGCCUGACGGAGCAAUGCCGCGUGAAGGAUGAAGGCCUAUGGGUUGUAAACUUCUUUUCUCAGAAAAGAAUUAUGACGGUAUCUGAGGAAUAAGCACCGGCUAACUCCGUGCCAGCAGCCGCGGUAAUACGGAGGGUGCAAGCGUUAUCCGGAUUCACUGGGUUUAAAGGGUGCGUAGGCGGAUAAAUAAGUCAGUGGUGAAAUCAACGGGCUCAACCUGUUAACUGCCAUUGAUACUGUGUAUCUUGAAUAUGAGAGAGGUAGGCGGAAUGUUGCAUGUAGCGGUGAAAUGCUUAGAUAUGCUACGGAACACUGAUUGCGAAGGCAGCUUACUAUUUCGUAAUUGACGCUGAGGCACGAAAGCGUGGGUAGCGAACAGGAUUAGAAACCCCGGUAGUCC